UACGUAGGGUGCGAGCGUUGUCCGGAUUUAUUGGGCGUAAAGGGCUCGUAGGCGGCCUGUCGCGUCGGGAGUGAAAGCCCACUGCUUAACGGUGGGUCUGCUUCCGGUACGGGCGGGCUAGAGUAUGGCAGGGGAGACUGGAAUUCCUGGUGUAGCGGUGGAAUGCGCAGAUAUCGGGAAGAACACCCGUGGCGAAGGCGGCUCUCUGGGCCGAUACUGACGCUGAGGAGCGAAAGCGUGGGGAGCGAACAGG
RNAcentral lists this ribosomal RNA (253 nucleotides) under uncultured bacterium. Its description in RNAcentral is "partial 16S ribosomal RNA". It matches the Rfam family "Bacterial small subunit ribosomal RNA", at positions 524 to 776 of the family's 1533-position model. The record is from RNAcentral.